UACGAAGGGGGCUAGCGUUGCUCGGAAUCACUGGGCGUAAAGCGCACGUAGGCGGAUUGUUAAGUCAGGGGUGAAAUCCUGGAGCUCAACUCCAGAACUGCCUUUGAUACUGGCGGUCUCGAGUCCGGGAGAGGUGAGUGGAACUGCGAGUGUAGAGGUGAAAUUCGUAGAUAUUCGCAAGAACACCAGUGGCGAAGGCGGCUCACUGGCCCGGUACUGACGCUGAGGUGCGAAAGCGUGGGGAGCGAACAGG
This 253-nucleotide ribosomal RNA is filed under the name uncultured bacterium. RNAcentral's name for it is "partial 16S ribosomal RNA". It matches the Rfam family "Bacterial small subunit ribosomal RNA", at positions 524 to 776 of the family's 1533-position model. The record is from RNAcentral.